UGUCUCCCACUCACCAGUAACCUAAUUAUGUUCUUAAAAAGAAAGAACCUAGAAGACCAUAGAAGAAAUCCAAAACUUAAAUCAGGAUGCCUUGUUAGUGUACUUUAAGCCCGAAUGAAAGUUUUGUCGUCCAUAAUGUUGAGAAAGAAGUCUUAAGUGGACAAGAACCUCCCCUCAA
Molecule: long non-coding RNA, 178 nt
Organism: Hippocampus comes (tiger tail seahorse)
Lineage: Eukaryota; Metazoa; Chordata; Actinopteri; Syngnathiformes; Syngnathidae
Exons: 2
Source: RefSeq, a predicted model, not a curated record